UAGUGAAUGUUAGAAUGAAGACGCGUU
This 27-nucleotide small RNA is filed under the name Bombyx mori (domestic silkworm). Its description in RNAcentral is "ovarian small RNA-23042". Lineage: Eukaryota; Metazoa; Arthropoda; Insecta; Lepidoptera; Bombycidae. The record is from RNAcentral.